GAUCGCCAUGAUUUUUUCCUCAUGAUAAGGCAAAUCCUGAAGAAGAGAAAAAACUAACAAAAAUCAAGUAAUAUUGUUGAUCAAGCGAGAUAUAGGAAUUUCUAUUAAAAAUGUAUUUCUUUUUUUGUUGAAAAAUUUAUUAUUUAUCAGUCGUAGAUUAAUAUUGCAUGAGAAUCCUUUCAAGUAAGAAGAUACAAAAAAAACAGAAGAAAAAAUUUAAAACGUGAGAUUUACCAUAACAAUAAAAAUUUUAUAGUGUGACAAAAACUUUCCGGAUAAUAAUGAAAACGAGAGCUAAAGAUUAUUUAUUAGGAUAAAUACGAAGCGAGCGAUGCUUUUCGAGAUAAUUUUUAUGGGGGAGAGACGGAGCUAGAUCAGAUAUGGGGUUGGUCAUAACUAGAAAGUUUUUGUCGUCUCCUACUUUUCUAAAUUUUACAAGAAAAUCAUUUCUAGUAAAGGAAGCAACCAAUUACUAAAAUUGUUAAAACCUAUCGGCCGAUGAAGGGACUAGAAACUUUUAGCGAUUCUUUUCGGGGAGAAAAAUUUUAUGAAUGUCUUUACGAACAUAAAUAGCAUGCACUGAUCAAAGUACAUACAGUUUAGUCCCGCAUUCAGACUUUGUAGAAAUUGAUUUAUGUUGACUAUUUAUGAGUCGUUUUUAAUUCUAUAUUUAAAAAAUGGAACUUCGCGAGUUAUUCACCAAUUUUUUCAUCGUUGCUAGCAACUAAAAUAAAAAAUUAGUUGCCGCUGAUUAUCUGAAAAAUUGUCAAAUAAUGGCGAAAAAAUUCCAUUUUCGGAAAUAUUUCAUGAAUGCUCCAGCACAUUAGUGCAUUAUGCACACAAACUGGGGCAUUGCGGUGGUGAUGAGAGAUUAAAAAAUAUAAUCGUUCGUCUAGAAAUACGCGAGUGUUUUGGUAUGAGGAGGAUGACGUAGGAGGUCAAUAGCUAACUUAAAGCAACGCACUGGACUAAGAGGUAAGCAGUAAUAAUUUCUAAAAUAAAAUUGAACACAUAUUAACAUUAAAAGUUUUACUUUGUAAUUAAAUUAUAAUAUUUAUUUCAUAAAACCGAUUGUAUUAUAGGACGAGCGAUACCGCAUCACAGGGAGCGUCCAGUAGGACGACUUAGUUUAAAGCGACGUCACCCUGUGAGAGAAGAAGAGGAGGGAGUACUAGAAGAGCACGAAUUGAACCGAAAAAUAAUGUUCCAUCUCCGCGUGACGUUCCUAUCAUCGUAAUUGAUGAUGAUGAUGACAACAAUGAUAGGAAUGGCGAUUUGAGUUCGUCUGAUUCGAUUCGAAUAUUGGUCUCUCCAGAUUUCACCAUUUCCAUAACGUCGCAGGAAAUCGAACAAGAGCGGGAGGAACUAACGCUGGAAGAAAAUGUGAAGUCUGGAGAGGAGGAGGAGGAGGAGGAGGAGGAGAAGGAAAAGGAGGAGGAGGAAGAGGAAGAAGAGAAGGAGGAGGAGGAGGAAGGGGAGAGGAGGAGGAUAAUGAGAACAUUGAUGAUAACAAUGUCAAUGAUGAUGUCGACGAUGAUGAUAAUAAUGAUGCCGAUGAUAAUGCUGUUGAUAAUGAGGAGCAGAACAAAGCAAAUGUUGAGGAUAGCAUUGAUGAUAACGGUGAUGAUGAGGAGAAGGAGGAGGAAAUAUGUGACGAGGUAAUAGUAACUCAGGAGGUAAUAGAGGAAGAAGAAGAAAACACAUAUUACGCACCUCUUGAAAAUGAAGUACAAACUGGCGGUGGUGCCGAUCAUCCUACCUCCGCGGUUCUACAUCGCGACAUCGCAAGGGAAGAAAACGCUCCCUUGGAAGAAGAAUUCUCGCAAAAUUUCGAGGACUCCAUCGACGAUGAACAUCGGCAGCAGCAGCAACGGCAACAGAUACAUCAUCAUCAGGAGGAAAAUAAUCACCGGCCAUCAUCAGCAGGAGAUUAGAAAUAACUUCUCUUUUAUUGAGUUAAGAUCGGAAAACUCGCGUUGAUUUAGGAAUUUUGUGAUACUAGGGAGGGAGGCAACUUUCACGAUACGUCCGCCACCCGAAGGUACUGAUAUCGUUCGUUGGAUAGAAAGCGCGUUCCGUGAAAUUCGGACGUAUGCACUACAUUCGUGCGAACCGAAUGAUUACGUAGGAUUAUCGUUCGAGCCAGAGGAUUUAGCGCGUGGUCCGGCUGGUCUAUCGUUUCGUCUAGCACGCGACUUAACUCACAGAACAUAUGGCAACUCGUAAGUUCGCUGGCGCAAAGUGCUGGAGGAUUCAAUAUCGCAGAAAAUUUUACAUUACGUGUUUUCAAAGUCUCAAUACUUGCUGGUCGUGGGCGUCAAUCUAAUUGAUUAACUCGCGAAGAUGUAGCCAAACACUCGAUUUUGCAAAUAAAUAACACAGACAAUUUGUGUUUUCCCCAUUCACUCGUAGUGGCACGUGUAUAUCAAGAGCAUGGGCAACUGCGGUGGGAACUGCAAGAAAGAUGGGAAUCCAGCGUUCUUCACUUACAGCGUAAGUUGGCCGAAGAAUUAACGAAAUCCGCUGGUAUCAUGAUUUCCAAGGAAGAUUGUGGAAUUCGCGAAAUCGAGCAAUUCCAACGGAUUCUUGCUUUCGAAAAUAUUGCAAUUAUGAUAUAUAAUUUUCGUACUUUUGGUCGAGGCAAGAAUUCGAUGUACGACUGCGCAUUACUUCCUAGGUUGCGAACCCACGUGUCAUUUAAAUAUAAUAUAUUACGAGGGCUCGCAACAUUAUAAUCCUAUAUUAAAUAUAAAAGCCGCCGCCGGUUCUCGCGAAGGAUAUUGCGUAGCGUGCAUCGUGGACUUUCGUAAUGACAGAGGUCAUCGAUGCAUUAAAAAAUGCCCACGCUGCUGAGACAGUGGAAUAGGACGUCUUAACGUGACGAGUGCUCGAAGAUAACUGUGCUUCGCGACGACGAAUUACCGUCUUCGAAUCUCGGAUAAGACAAAGAAAGUACUGCGAUAGUUAAUCGAGCGUCUAUUCUUCUAUAUGAACAAUAAAAUAAUUAUUCUGCAACUUUA
RNAcentral lists this long non-coding RNA (3020 nucleotides) under Acromyrmex echinatior (Panamanian leafcutter ant). RNAcentral's name for it is "uncharacterized LOC105147880, transcript variant X1". The record is from RNAcentral. Lineage: Eukaryota; Metazoa; Arthropoda; Insecta; Hymenoptera; Formicidae.